CAGCCGCCGCGGUAAUACGAAAGGUCCAAGCGUUACUCGGAAUUACUGGGCGUAAAGAGCGCGUAGGCGGUUUUGUAUGUCGAUUGUGAAAGCCCCGGGCUCAACCUGGGAACUGCAGUCGAAACUGCAAGACUUGAAUGUUGGAGAGGUUGGGGGAAUACCUAGUGGAGAAGUGAAAUUCGUAGAGGUUAGGUGGAACACCAGAGGCGAAGGCGCCUGACUGGCCAAACAUUGACGCUAAGGCGCGAAAGCGUGGGUAGCAAACAGGAUUAGAUACCCGCGUAGUCCCUGUCUCUUAUAC
RNAcentral lists this ribosomal RNA (301 nucleotides) under uncultured bacterium. Its description in RNAcentral is "partial 16S ribosomal RNA". It matches the Rfam family "Bacterial small subunit ribosomal RNA", at positions 509 to 807 of the family's 1533-position model. The record is from RNAcentral.